CAGCUUGAAGAUUGUAUAAAAAAUCCCUGCAAUAAAUAAGAAGUACAUCUGAAUAGUUCAGUUCUGUGACAUUCCCAGUAUUUCAGUUCCUUCAGAAAAAAGCUGCUGAACAAAGGUGUCGAUUAUUUAUCUGAAGUCCACAGUCGAAAAUACAGACUUGGGGUAACUUGAAACGUAUCCCAUUUCUCCUUUCCAACUGAAACAGGUCAAAUUUAGUCAUUGAUAUUCAGUAAGAAAACCCGGAUAUGUCCCACAACUACCACAUGGAGGAUGUACUAUCUUGUUUACAUUUGCUAAUCUGAGGACAAGGAGGCGGAUGUCCCUUUAAUGUUUGAGCAAAGGAUUUGACUACCAUUUAUUCGAAUCAGUUGAAACUGUUACUGCCUGCAGAAUAUUCCGAUCAGUACUGUCUGCAUGUCAUGGGAAGGGUUUGGUUUAUCUUCAUUUGAGCUCCGUCUUUUACACGAUGAGGAGGAAUACAAGGCUCACAACGUUUCAGAUAAGCAGUGAAAUAAUUCUAUUAUACG
This is a long non-coding RNA of Haliotis rubra (blacklip abalone), 527 nucleotides long. RefSeq lists it as uncharacterized. Lineage: Eukaryota; Metazoa; Mollusca; Gastropoda; Lepetellida; Haliotidae. The record is from RefSeq and is a predicted model, not a curated record. The transcript has 5 exons.